This 253-nucleotide ribosomal RNA is filed under the name uncultured bacterium. RNAcentral's name for it is "partial 16S ribosomal RNA". It matches the Rfam family "Bacterial small subunit ribosomal RNA", at positions 524 to 776 of the family's 1533-position model. The record is from RNAcentral.
UACGAAGGGUGCAAGCGUUAAUCGGAAUUACUGGGCGUAAAGCGAGUGUAGGCGGUUGCGUGUGUCGGAUGUGAAAGCCCUGGGCUCAACCUGGGAAUUGCAUUCGAAACUGCGUAACUAGAAUAUGGUAGAGGAAGACGGAAUUCCACGUGUAGCGGUGAAAUGCGUAGAUAUGUGGAGGAACACCAAUGGCGAAGGCAGUCUUCUGGGCCAAUAUUGACGCUGAGGCUCGAAAGCGUGGGUAGCAAACAGG